CAAAUUAAGAUGGCUGAUCACAAGGUCUCUCUUAUCCUCGUUAUUGUCCUCUUAAUUUCGGUCCAGAUGGGAGCUGCCUGCAGCAGGGAAACUAGGGAAAUCAUCAUGACCGUUGUGGCAGAAGAAAAGGAAAGACACUGCAAAGAGUACUUCCAUGUGAGUAAACCCCGGGGCCCUCCUCAUUGCUCACCACGGGACCCACCAUCCGCUGGACCAAGCCCACCGAGAAGGCGAUGCCCCUCCCCCCCGGCAGAGACUCGAGGCUGAAGCGUACUAUUAUCGUGCAUGAUCUUUGUUUUCUUACAUUGUUUCUUGGUGGUGGUGAUUGUUAUUGUGUAUUUUGCAGCUGAUCAUCCCAAUUUAAAAAGGCUCUGAAAAUAAGCUCUUCUUUUUAAAAAUGCAAUGGACAAUAAAUUAUUCAAAUCCACAUGAUUGUUUGAAAUUGAAAACGA
This is a long non-coding RNA of Juglans regia (Persian walnut), 452 nucleotides long. RefSeq lists it as uncharacterized. The transcript is spliced from 2 exons. The record is from RefSeq and is a predicted model, not a curated record. Lineage: Eukaryota; Viridiplantae; Streptophyta; Magnoliopsida; Fagales; Juglandaceae.